Molecule: ribosomal RNA, 388 nt
Filed under: Salmonella enterica
Lineage: Bacteria; Pseudomonadati; Pseudomonadota; Gammaproteobacteria; Enterobacterales; Enterobacteriaceae
Also listed under: 1 other name
Description: partial 23S ribosomal RNA
Rfam family: Bacterial large subunit ribosomal RNA
Source: RNAcentral
GAUUCGUCACACUAUCAUUAACUGAAUCCAUAGGUUAAUGAGGCGAACCGGGGGAACUGAAACAUCUAAGUACCCCGAGGAAAAGAAAUCAACCGAGAUUCCCCCAGUAGCGGCGAGCGAACGGGGAGGAGCCCAGAGCCUGAAUCAGCAUGUGUGUUAGUGGAAGCGUCUGGAAAGGCGCGCGAUACAGGGUGACAGCCCCGUACACAAAAGCGCAUGUGCUGUGAGCUCGAUGAGUAGGGCGGGACACGUGGUAUCCUGUCUGAAUAUGGGGGGACCAUCCUCCAAGGCUAAAUACUCCUGACUGACCGAUAGUGAACCAGUACCGUGAGGGAAAGGCGAAAAGAACCCCGGCGAGGGGAGUGAAAAAGAACCUGAAACCGUGUAC